This 253-nucleotide ribosomal RNA is filed under the name uncultured bacterium. RNAcentral describes it as "partial 16S ribosomal RNA". It matches the Rfam family "Bacterial small subunit ribosomal RNA", at positions 524 to 776 of the family's 1533-position model. The record is from RNAcentral.
UACGUAGGUGGCAAGCGUUGUCCGGAUUUAUUGGGUUUAAAGGGUGCGUAGGUGGCCCUGUAAGUCAGUGGUGAAAUAUCUCAGCUUAACUGAGAGGGUGCCAUUGAUACUGCAGGGCUUGAGUACAGAUGAGGUAGGCGGAAUUGACGGUGUAGCGGUGAAAUGCAUAGAUAUCGUCAAGAACACCGAUAGCGAAGGCAGCUUACCAAGCUGUAACUGACACUGAGGCACGAAAGUGUGGGGAGCGAACAGG